Molecule: ribosomal RNA, 253 nt
Filed under: uncultured bacterium
Lineage: Bacteria
Description: partial 16S ribosomal RNA
Rfam family: Bacterial small subunit ribosomal RNA
Source: RNAcentral
UACGGGGGGGGUAAGCGUUGUUCGGAAUUACUGGGCAUAAAGGGCUCGUAGGCGGCCAACUAAGUCGGACGUGAAAUCCCUCAGCUUAACUGGGGAACUGCGUCUGAUACUGGAUGGCUUGGAUUUGGGAGAGGGAUGCGGAAUUCCAGGUGUAGCGGUGAAAUGCGUAGAUAUCUGGAGGAACACCGGUGGCGAAGGCGGCAUCCUGGACCAACAUUGACGCUGAGGAGCGAAAGCCAGGGGAGCAAACGGG